UUGCUCGUUUCGGCAGCACAUAUACUAAAAUUGGAAUGAUAGAAGAUUAGCAUAACUCCUGCACGAGCAUGACACACAAAUCUGUGAAGCAUUCCAUAUUUAA
Small nuclear RNA from Ursus americanus (American black bear), 103 nucleotides. The record is from Ensembl. Lineage: Eukaryota; Metazoa; Chordata; Mammalia; Carnivora; Ursidae.